UUCGGGGGACAGGGUGACAGGUGGUGCAUGGUUGUCGUCAGCUCGUGUCGUGAGAUGUUGGGUUAAGUCCCGCGACGAGCGCAACCCUCGACCUUAGUUGCCAGCAUUCAGUUGGGCACUCUAAGGUGACUGCCGGCUAAAAGUCGGAGGAAGGUGGGGAUGACGUCAAAUCAUCAUGCCCCUUAUGACCUGGGCUACACACGUGCUACAAUGGGCGGUACAAAGGGUCGCGAACCCGCGAGGGGGAGCCAAUCCCAAAAAGCCGCUCUCAGUUCGGAUUGCAGGCUGCAACUCGCCUGCAUGAAGCCGGAAUCGCUAGUAAUCGCGGAUCAGCAUGCCGCGGUGAAUACGUUCCCGGGCCUU
This 363-nucleotide ribosomal RNA is filed under the name uncultured Anoxybacillus sp. Its description in RNAcentral is "bacterial SSU rRNA". It matches the Rfam family "Bacterial small subunit ribosomal RNA", at positions 1018 to 1382 of the family's 1533-position model. Lineage: Bacteria; Bacillati; Bacillota; Bacilli; Caryophanales; Anoxybacillaceae. The record is from RNAcentral.